AAAUAAGAAAUGAUUAAUCAUAAUUGAUUUCGACUCAUUAAUAGAUAUUUUACUUUAUCCUUAUUUA
This 67-nucleotide transfer RNA is filed under the name Ammothea calmani. RNAcentral's name for it is "tRNA-Arg". The record is from RNAcentral. RNAcentral also lists the same sequence under 2 other names. Lineage: Eukaryota; Metazoa; Arthropoda; Pycnogonida; Pantopoda; Ammotheidae.